Molecule: ribosomal RNA, 253 nt
Filed under: uncultured bacterium
Lineage: Bacteria
Description: partial 16S ribosomal RNA
Rfam family: Bacterial small subunit ribosomal RNA
Source: RNAcentral
GACAGAGGGUGCAAACGUUGUUCGGAAUUACUGGGCGUAAAGCGUGUGUAGGCUGCUACAUAAGUCGGAUGUGAAAGCCCCGGGCUCAACCCGGGAAGUGCACUCGAUACUGCGUAGCUUGAGUCUCGGAGAGGUUGGUGGAAUUCUCGGUGUAGAGGUGAAAUUCGUAGAUAUCGAGAGGAACACCGGUGGCGAAGGCGGCCAACUGGACGAAGACUGACGCUGAGACGCGAAAGCGUGGGGAGCGAACAGG